This 464-nucleotide ribosomal RNA is filed under the name Vreelandella stevensii. RNAcentral describes it as "partial 16S ribosomal RNA". It matches the Rfam family "Bacterial small subunit ribosomal RNA", at positions 338 to 795 of the family's 1533-position model. The record is from RNAcentral. Lineage: Bacteria; Pseudomonadati; Pseudomonadota; Gammaproteobacteria; Oceanospirillales; Halomonadaceae.
CCUACGGGUGGCUGCAGUGGGGAAUAUUGGACAAUGGGCGAAAGCCUGAUCCAGCCAUGCCGCGUGUGUGAAGAAGGCCUUCGGGUUGUAAAGCACUUUCAGUGGGGAAGAAAGCCUUGGGGCUAAUACCCUCGAGGAAGGACAUCACCCACAGAAGAAGCACCGGCUAACUCCGUGCCAGCAGCCGCGGUAAUACGGAGGGUGCGAGCGUUAAUCGGAAUUACUGGGCGUAAAGCGCGCGUAGGCGGUCUGAUAAGCCGGUUGUGAAAGCCCCGGGCUCAACCUGGGAACGGCAUCCGGAACUGUCAGGCUAGAGUGCAGGAGAGGAAGGUAGAAUUCCCGGUGUAGCGGUGAAAUGCGUAGAGAUCGGGAGGAAUACCAGUGGCGAAGGCGGCCUUCUGGACUGACACUGACGCUGAGGUGCGAAAGCGUGGGUAGCAAACAGGAUUAGAUACCCAGUAGUC